UGUUUGCUGUCUUCUGUCUCCUCAGG
RNAcentral lists this non-coding RNA (26 nucleotides) under Homo sapiens (human). The record is from RNAcentral. Lineage: Eukaryota; Metazoa; Chordata; Mammalia; Primates; Hominidae.